Rosa chinensis is the source of this 827-nucleotide long non-coding RNA. RefSeq lists it as uncharacterized. The transcript is spliced from 5 exons. The record is from RefSeq and is a predicted model, not a curated record. NCBI's taxonomy places the organism in Eukaryota, Viridiplantae, Streptophyta, Magnoliopsida, Rosales, Rosaceae.
AUCGCUAAAUUCUCUAUACCUAUUCAAAUGUAAAAAACAGGAGUGUGGGGGGAUUUAAUCUAGAUACAUUUUGCUUAUACACUAUUCUUUUCUCUUUUGCUUAAAACCCAUAUUUUGCUUAUUGGUGAGUUAUCUAUUGUUGUAUUCUUUUUUUCGAGUUUGGAGGUGGUGAGAAUCUCCAUUUGAAUUAAUUGUGGAAUUGAUUUUUGUUUUUCAUUUUGUGUUUGUUUUGGAUUGAUUUGUGAAUGUAUUUGCAACAACAAGAGGGAGAAUGGGUGCUUAAGGUGAGAAAGAGAGGAGGGUGAAUCAGUUUGUGUUUCUUUUGAAAGAGAACAGAUAUUUUUGUCCUCAUCCCUGUCCAGAGAGAAUUUAGAUUCAUUCCACGUCAAAACAUUUGGUUCCUCCAAUUCGGAAUUGAGGGAAACCUGUCACUGUCUCCUGCAAUCAAAGAGAAAUUCAUCCAAGCCAACAACCUUACCAACCGCUGAUUGACUGUACGGGGAGUGACAUUGACAAAAAAAGAAGAUCUAGAGUGAUAGAUAAGCUAGUAUUGAAUCAGCAACAUCAUCAACAGAAAUCAUCAGCAAAGAAAAACUGGACUGAAGUGUCACAUGAAGCAACUUUUUGGACAACCUCCACUACUGGUCAUCACUAGGCUAACAUCAUCUCAGCAUGCAUAUGUGCUAAUGGACAUCAUCGCUUAUUUUUGGCAACCAGAUUAGGUGUUUGUUAUAACUAAGUGUUAGCCAAUAAGUAGAACAACUUAUUUUUGGCAAGCUGUUUCAACAGCAACUGUAAUCCGUUUUUUAACACUGAAUUUCAGUAAA